This 251-nucleotide ribosomal RNA is filed under the name uncultured prokaryote. RNAcentral describes it as "partial 16S ribosomal RNA". It matches the Rfam family "Bacterial small subunit ribosomal RNA", at positions 524 to 774 of the family's 1533-position model. The record is from RNAcentral.
UACGGAGGAUGCGAGCGUUAUCCGGAUUUAUUGGGUUUAAAGGGUGCGUAGGCGGAUUGAUAAGUCAGUGGUGAAAUUCUACAGCUUAACUGUAGACUUGCCGUUGAUACUGUUAGUCUUGAGUGUGGAUGAAGUGUGCGGAAUGUGUGGUGUAGCGGUGAAAUGCUUAGAUAUCACACAGAACACCGAUUGCGAAGGCAGCACACUAAGUCAUUAUUGACGCUGAGGCACGAAAGUGUGGGGAUCAAACA